Non-coding RNA from Schizosaccharomyces pombe (fission yeast), 743 nucleotides. Lineage: Eukaryota; Fungi; Ascomycota; Schizosaccharomycetes; Schizosaccharomycetales; Schizosaccharomycetaceae. The record is from the annotation of a GenBank genome assembly.
GCAACGAUCUAUCUUCUUUUCAAAAUAUGUGUAUUAUUAAAAACAUAAUAAAUUUGCAGUAUUUGGAAUUCAAAAUUUAUUCUUUACUUUAUAAGCCCAGCUUUGAAUUCUUCAAUAAGCAACAUAUUCGUUUUUUGUAUGUUAAAUAAGGUUAAUUUUAAACGAGGAUACAUGUACCACUAAAUUUUAACAAAAUCCUAUUAAAAAUUAAAUUUGUUUUUUCCCUAACUUUUAAAUUACUUGUUUGCAGGUAUUUCAGUUUAAAUAGACAUCUUAAAGGAGUAUUUGAGUUCUUUUUUCUGACUGUAUUCAAUUAGAAUUGGAUUUCCUUAUGGCUUAAUGCCGCUUGAAAGAUAUGGAAAUAUGACAUUAACAAAUUUAUACAGAAGCCAUUUGACGUUCAAUUCCUUAUUCUAUUUUCCAGUAGUAGUAUUGCAUUGAAUUACCAGCACUAGAAUUUCCCUUAAAAUUUGUUAUAUUUACUUUUCUCCUUAAUAUUGAUGGAUGUUCAAAUGUAUGAUUUUUCACCUUCGCGCUACCUAUUUAUAAAUUUUUUCUUCACACUUUGAUAUUUUAUUGUCAGUUAGUAUUAAUAUGAGCCUAAUGCAUCUUGGCCCGGAUUUAUUUCGACGCAGGGAUUUUGAAGGCAAUAAAUAUAAUCAUUAACACUUUAGGUAAAUGAAUCUAAAUUCUCGUAAAUUUUUUUUUUGUUUAAAUCAAAUUUAAUUUUCGGCCACAUUUUA